CUUGUGGCUGGGGGUGAAAGGCCAAUCAAACCGGGAGAUAGCUGGUUCUCCCCGAAAGCUAUUUAGGUAGCGCCUCGUGAAUUCAUCUCCGGGGGUAGAGCACUGUUUCGGCAAGGGGGUCAUCCCGACUUACCAACCCGAUGCAAACUGCGAAUACCGGAGAAUGUUAUCACGGGAGACACACGGCGGGUGCUAACGUCCGUCGUGAAGAGGGAAACAACCCAGACCGCCAGCUAAGGUCCCAAAGUCAUGGUUAAGUGGGAAACGAUGUGGGAAGGCCCAGACAGCCAGGAUGUUGGCUUAGAAGCAGCCAUCAUUUAAAGAAAGCGUAAUAGCUCACUGGUCGAGUCGGCCUGCGCGGAAGAUGUAACGGGGCUAAACCAUGCACCGAAGCUGCGGCAGCGACGCUUAUGCGUUGUUGGGUAGGGGAGCGUUCUGUAAGCCUGUGAAGGUGUGCUGUGAGGCAUGCUGGAGGUAUCAGAAGUGCGAAUGCUGACAUAAGUAACGAUAAAGCGGGUGAAAAGCCCGCUCGCCGGAAGACCAAGGGUUCCUGUCCAACGUUAAUCGGGGCAGGGUGAGUCGACCCCUAAGGCGAGGCCGAAAGGCGUAGUCGAUGGGAAACAGGUUAAUAUUCCUGUACUUGGUGUUACUGCGAAGGGGGGACGGAGAAGGCUAUGUUGGCCGGGCGACGGUUGUCCCGGUUUAAGCGUGUAGGCUGGUUUUCCAGGCAAAUCCGGAAAACCAAGGCUGAGGCGUGAUGACGAGGCACUACGGUGCUGAAGCAACAAAUGCCCUGCUUCCAGGAAAAGCCUCUAAGCAUCAGGUAACAUCAAAUCGUACCCCAAACCGACACAGGUGGUCAGGUAGAGAAUACCAAGGCGCUUGAGAGAACUCGGGUGAAGGAACUAGGCAAAAUGGUGCCGUAACUUCGGGAGAAGGCACGCUGAUAUGUAGGUGAAGUCCCUCGCGGAUGGAGCUGAAAUCAGUCGAAGAUACCAGCUGGCUGCAACUGUUUAUUAAAAACACAGCACUGUGCAAACACGAAAGUGGACGUAUACGGUGUGACGCCUGCCCGGUGCCGGAAGGUUAAUUGAUGGGGUUAGCGGCAACGCGAAGCUCUUGAUCGAAGCCCCGGUAAACGGCGGCCGUAACUAUAACGGUCCUAAGGUAGCGAAAUUCCUUGUCGGGUAAGUUCCGACCUGCACGAAUGGCGUAAUGAUGGCCAGGCUGUCUCCACCCGAGACUCAGUGAAAUUGAACUCGCUGUGAAGAUGCAGUGUACCCGCGGCAAGACGGAAAGACCCCGUGAACCUUUACUAUAGCUUGACACUGAACAUUGAGCCUUGAUGUGUAGGAUAGGUGGGAGGCUUUGAAGUGUGGACGCCAGUCUGCAUGGAGCCGACCUUGAAAUACCACCCUUUAAUGUUUGAUGUUCUAACGUGGGCCCCUAAUCGGGGUUGCGGACAGUGUCUGGUGGGUAGUUUGACUGGGGCGGUCUCCUCCUAAAGAGUAACGGAGGAGCACGAAGGUUGGCUAAUCCUGGUCGGACAUCAGGAGGUUAGUGCAAUGGCAUAAGCCAGCUUGACUGCGAGCGU
Molecule: ribosomal RNA, 1594 nt
Filed under: Escherichia coli 6-319-05_S3_C2
Lineage: Bacteria; Pseudomonadati; Pseudomonadota; Gammaproteobacteria; Enterobacterales; Enterobacteriaceae
Description: bacterial LSU rRNA
Rfam family: Bacterial large subunit ribosomal RNA
Source: RNAcentral